Mytilus trossulus (common blue mussel) is the source of this 1505-nucleotide long non-coding RNA. RefSeq lists it as uncharacterized. The record is from RefSeq and is a predicted model, not a curated record. The transcript is spliced from 3 exons. Lineage: Eukaryota; Metazoa; Mollusca; Bivalvia; Mytilida; Mytilidae.
ACAUUCUUAAACACUAAAAGUUUAUAAAUUCCUGUUUUUCAAAUCCUAAGACAGUUUCGAGAAACAGGCCCCGGGUAACAAACUCAAACCGAAGAAAACUUAUCAACUAUAAGAAGAUAAAAAGCGGACAACAUGAUACCAAUAUUAUUUUUAAAGUUUAUUCAGAUACAAAGAAAAUGUUCUCCUUAUGAUGACAUUACAAUGUACAUCUACAGGAUACAACUCCCAAUUAUGAUUUUAACACCACAAGAAAUAUUCAUCAAAGUUAUUUUAUAUUAAUGAAAACAACAAAUUUUAACAAACUUCCUAGCUCUGUUUAUUUUCCAGUGGGUGCACUGCACAUGUAUUUCACUAACAUGUACAUUCACGGAUGUAAAUAAUGAUUUGUUAUGACAUUUAAAUGCAAACGACGCAAGUGUGGUAAAAUUAUGUCAAGUGUGCGUUGAGUUGAACAAACAGAUAUGAUGCAUGCUGUUCAUUUUUCAUUGCUAAAUAACGAAAACAAUAUUAGCAAUUUACACGUUUUAAGUUUAAAUUGACAGUGAAGAUAAGCAAAUGCAGAAUUGAAGAUAUGAAUAAUGGAAUUGAAGAAAAGGAGGUUAUUUCCGUCGAAAGAGAAUAUUCUGUCCUUGUUUUAGCAUCUACAACAUUAUAUACCGAACCAUUGACCUGGAAUGAAGCUAACCAAUAUUGUAAAAGUAUAGGACAACAUUUAGUGACAAUUGAUGAACAAGCGAAGUGCUCAGCAACUUCUACACGAAGCUUUACUGGACAUGAAAGACAAUACUUCUAACUUUGAAGGAUACUUUUGGAUAGGACUUCAUGUUCCAGAUCCAAAUCAACCAACUAACCGUGAAUGGACAAAUGACUGCGUUUUAUCAGAUUCGUUUUCAAACUGGUCACCCGGAUUAAAAUAUUGGGAAUGACAAUUUCUGUGCUUAUGUGGAGGUAGAAGACGAUGACAUACAUUGGCUUUUAGCUGAAUGUGGAACAGACACAAAAACACUUAUAUGUGAUGCAUGCGAGAUCAACUAUUUAUAUAUGUUAAAAAAAGACCGUACUGUCCCCAUUAAUGGAUUUCUUGUACAAAUUGGAACUUGGAUGAAGAGUUGUCUCAUCGGCACUCAUACCUAAUCUUCUUAGAUCUAUUAUAAUUUAUUUCAAAGUUAACCUCUCCGACAACGGUAGUUUAUAUAUAAAUCUAAAAGAUUAGAAUAUAAUGCAUUUGUCUGUACAAAAAUGUACAAAUACUUGUUCGACAUAUAUUAUCAUGAAGGAAGUUAAAUCAAAUACUAGUAUAUAAUUCACAUUUGCGUAUGACAGUCAGUACAAAAUUAUUUGAAUAAGCUGUAAUUAUUGAUUGAAUAUAUUCUAACUAAGUACGGUCGACCUUUAGAUUUGAGGCCCUCCUGGAGUGUCCUUUUAUCUAACUACAGAAAGGCUACACACAUAUUUUGACACAAUUUAGUGAUUAAAAAGUGGCGAAAAUACCAGAAGGACCUACA